ACGUAGGGCGCAAGCGUUGUCCGGAAUUAUUGGGCGUAAAGAGCUCGUAGGCGGUCAGUCGCGUCUGCUGUGAAAACUCGAGGCUCAACCUCGGGCUUGCAGUGGGUACGGGCUGACUAGAGUGCGGUAGGGGUGACUGGAAUUCCUGGUGUAGCGGUGGAAUGCGCAGAUAUCAGGAGGAACACCGAUGGCGAAGGCAGGUCACUGGGCCGCAACUGAUGCUGAGGAGCGAAAGCAUGGGGAGCGAACAGGA
Molecule: ribosomal RNA, 253 nt
Filed under: uncultured prokaryote
Description: partial 16S ribosomal RNA
Rfam family: Bacterial small subunit ribosomal RNA
Source: RNAcentral